This 689-nucleotide long non-coding RNA is filed under the name Gouania willdenowi (blunt-snouted clingfish). Its description in RNAcentral is "lncRNA (ENSGWIG00000002836.1)". Lineage: Eukaryota; Metazoa; Chordata; Actinopteri; Blenniiformes; Gobiesocidae. The record is from RNAcentral.
GACAGUGAGGUCUCAGACAUGGAGACGGAGAAGGACUCUUGUUUGAGACGUCCAUCCUCAGAAUCCUCAGGAGGAAAUAGAAAGACGCCUUCCUCUGAGUGUGGUGAGGACACCCUGUCCUCAGCAUCCUCCACACCAAGAAGGCCACACCAUGUCGAGUCAGACUGUGAUGAUGCUGAAGCAGGACCCUCUGAAGCAAAGAGACAAACUGUGACAUCUAUAACGGAUGACUCUGAAGAAGGAACCCAAAGAUGCAACCGAGCACAGCGAGAUGAAUCCUCUGUUACAGAAAGCUCAAAGAGGAGGAGUUGGACACCAUUAGAAGUGCGUGCAGUGGAAAAGACUCUAAAGCUGUUCCUAGAUUCGGGCAAAGUUCCUGGGAAAGCAGACUGUGUGGAUUGCAUCAAGGCCUCACCACAAGAGUUAAAGACAAGAACCUGGAAGGCUGUUAAGUACUACAUUAAAAAUCAAAUCACAGCAGUUCAGCGGGAAAGUGCAAGACGCUACUAAAGAUUUUAUCAGGCUUUUAUUUUGAGUACCUCCUCUACACUGGUGCUGAAGCUUUUGUUUUUAUUUUGGAAUGUUGGUAAAUCCUCUACGGUGGCACUGAAGCUUUUAUUUUUGUUUUGGAAUGUUGGUAAAUCCUCUACGGUGGCACUGAAGCUUUUUUUUUUUUUGUGAAGUUUUAC